GAUGAAGAACGUAGCGAAAUGCGAUAAGUAAUGUGAAUUGCAGAAUUCAGUGAAUCAUCGAAUCUUUGAACGCACAUUGCGCCCGCCAGUAUUCUGGCGGGCAUGCCUGUCCGAGCGUCAUUUCAACCCUCGAACCCCUCCGGGGGGUCGGCGUUGGGGACCUCGGGAGCCCCUAAGACGGGAUCCCGGCCCCGAAAUACAGUGGCGGUCUCGCCGCAGCCUCUCCUGCGCAGUAGUUUGCACAACUCGCACCGGGAGCGCGGCGCGUCCACGUCCGUAAAACACCCAACUUCUGAAAUGAUGACCUCGGAUCAGGUAGGAAUACCCGCUGAACUUAAGCAUAUCAAUAGGCGGAGGA
Molecule: unclassified non-coding RNA, 358 nt
Filed under: soil metagenome
Description: partial contains 5.8S ribosomal RNA, internal transcribed spacer 2, and large subunit ribosomal RNA
Rfam family: 5.8S ribosomal RNA (bases 1-120)
Source: RNAcentral